GACGAACGCUGGCGGCGUGCUUAACACAUGCAAGUCGAACGGAAAGGCCCUGCUUUUGUGGGGUGCUUGAGUGGCGAACGGGUGAGUAACACGUGAGUAACCUGCCCUUGACUUUGGGAUAACUUCAGGAAACUGGGGCUAAUACCGGAUAGGAGCUCCUGCUGCAUGGUGGGGGUUGGAAAGUUUCGGCGGUUGGGGAUGGACUCGCGGCUUAUCAGCUUGUUGGUGGGGUAGUGGCUUACCAAGGCUUUGACGGGUAGCCGGCCUGAGAGGGUGACCGGCCACAUUGGGACUGAGAUACGGCCCAGACUCCUACGGGAGGCAGCAGUGGGGAAUAUUGCACAAUGGGCGGAAGCCUGAUGCAGCAACGCCGCGUGCGGGAUGACGGCCUUCGGGUUGUAAACCGCUUUCGCCUGUGACGAAGCGUGAGUGACGGUAAUGGGUAAAGAAGCAUCGGCUAACUACGUG
RNAcentral lists this ribosomal RNA (468 nucleotides) under uncultured bacterium. RNAcentral describes it as "partial 16S ribosomal RNA". It matches the Rfam family "Bacterial small subunit ribosomal RNA", at positions 28 to 507 of the family's 1533-position model. The record is from RNAcentral.